UGAGUAGGCGGCUUCGUAAGUCAUAUGUGAAAGCCUGGUGCUUAACAUCAGGAUUGCAUAAGAAACUAUGAGGCUAGAGUAUGGGAGAGGUAAGCGGAAUUCCUAGUGUAGCGGUGAAAUGCGUAGAUAUUAGGAAGAACACCGGUGGCGAAGGCGGCUUACUGGACCAAGACUGACGCUGAGGCACGAAAGCGUGGGGAGCGAACAGGAUUAGAUACCCUGGUAGUCCACGCUGUAGACGAUGAUUGCUAGGUGUCGGGGUGAGAGCCUCGGUGCCGCAGCUAACGCAAUAAGCAAUCCGCCUGGGGAGUACGUUCGCAAGAAUGAA
This 328-nucleotide ribosomal RNA is filed under the name uncultured bacterium. RNAcentral describes it as "bacterial SSU rRNA". It matches the Rfam family "Bacterial small subunit ribosomal RNA", at positions 568 to 898 of the family's 1533-position model. The record is from RNAcentral.